Molecule: ribosomal RNA, 501 nt
Filed under: Prorocentrum lima
Lineage: Eukaryota; Dinophyceae; Prorocentrales; Prorocentraceae
Description: eukaryotic LSU rRNA
Rfam family: Eukaryotic large subunit ribosomal RNA
Source: RNAcentral
GGGGAAAGCUCAGCAAAGAAAUCGAGGACUCCGGCCUUGAGUUGUGGACUUGAGAGGUAUCGCCAAUGGUGGCACAGGUGGGGGCCUCUUGGAAAAGGGCACCACAGAGGGUGUGAGUCCUGUUUGCCAUCUGUAGUCCGCUGUGUACGGCAUGCCUCCUCCGAGUCACGUUCCUUGGAAUUGGAGCGCGAAGGUGGUGGUGGCUUUCAUCUCAAGNNNNUAUGGGUUCGAGACCGAUAGCAACAAGUACCAUGAGGGAAAAUUGAAAAGAGCUUUGGAAAGAGAGUUAAAAGUGCCCGACUUGCUGAUAGGGAAGCGAAGGAGCUGACGUUGCUUGUAACACCUUCCGCGCAGGACUAGGAUGGGUUCUGAUUGCAAUGUGUGUUGUGUUUCUUGCCAUGCGUGUCAAUGCCAAGUAAUGAGUGGGAGAGCUCCAGGGAUAAUGAUUGUUUCUGUCCCCGGUAGACAAUAUGUCUGGGUGCAUCCAUUUGUGGGCUGAAA